RNAcentral lists this ribosomal RNA (433 nucleotides) under uncultured bacterium. Its description in RNAcentral is "partial 16S ribosomal RNA". It matches the Rfam family "Bacterial small subunit ribosomal RNA", at positions 29 to 507 of the family's 1533-position model. The record is from RNAcentral.
AACGAACGCUGGCGGCAUGCCUAACACAUGCAAGUCGAACGAGACCUUCGGGUCUAGUGGCGCACGGGGGUGUAACGCGUGGGAACCUGCCCUUAGGUUCGGAAUAACUCCCCGAAAGGGGUGCUAAUACCGGAUAAUGUCUUCGGACCAAAGAUUUAUCGCCUUUGGAUGGGCCCGCGUUGGAUUAGCUAGUUGGUAGGGUAAAAGCCUACCAAGGCGACGAUCCAUAGCUGGUCUGAGAGGAUGAUCAGCCACACUGGGACUGGGACACGGCCCAGACUCCUACGGGAGGCAGCAGUGGGGAAUAUUGGACAAUGGGCGAAAGCCUGAUCCAGCAAUGCCGCGUGAGUGAUGAAGGCCUUAGGGUUGUAAAGCUCUUUUACCCGGGAUGAUAAUGACAGUACCGAGAGAAUAAGCUCCGGCUAACUCCGUG